This 1561-nucleotide long non-coding RNA is filed under the name Paramuricea clavata. The record is from RNAcentral. Lineage: Eukaryota; Metazoa; Cnidaria; Anthozoa; Malacalcyonacea; Plexauridae.
UACCCACACAAAGGAAGAACAAUAACAAGCCAAGUUCUUUGACACUUGCUCUCAGCGUGUGACCGAGAAUCUGCAGCCCUCUUGAAUAUCGCGACAACUUAAAGAUCCUGAAUACACGGACCAACCGAACUACCCUCAAUAUAGCCAGCGAGGAAACAUCUGUCUCCGAGUUCGCCAUCGCAAUGCUUAUGUAGAAAGGGAUAAUUGCGAUUAAAUCAAUCACGUUUAAAAUAGAUGUCACGAAUUUCCAUUUGUUCGGUGAACUAAGAAGGCGAACUACAUAUUCAAUGGUGAACCAGCUGAUACAGAGUGCUUCAAUAAUAAAAGGCCCAGAGGUGUACCGAUCCUUGUCCUGCUCUUCCUUGCCAGUACCAUUCCGCUUCAUGUUGUUUUCUUGAAACGAAGGCAGUGUUUCGAUGCAAAAUAAGACAACAGAUAAUAAUAUAAUACUUAUGCUCAAUAUCGCGAUCCCCCUAGCAGCCCUCGAAGUAUCUGGGUGUUCAAACAAUUCCCAAACCUUACACUGGAGUUUAUUUUUGGGUUUCUCGUAUUGCUCUUCGAAUCCAUUGUACCCUUCAGUGGCUUUCCACAGCGCUUCUUGACCAAGCUCAAAGAAUUUCAACUCAUUGACAAAAAUAUUCAUAGGUACGGUAGCUGGCCGUAUUAAGAUACCUUUGGUUUGAUAAUACGUUAAGAUUGCUUCGAAGCAUGUCCUGUUACGAUCAAAGAAGAAUUCGUUGUUCUCAGAGUCCCAGUACCUAUUUCGUUUUGACGCAGAACCGAGCACGCUCUCCGGCAACUGUUCAACAGUAUGUUUAUAAGUCUCAAACCGUAGCCCAGAAACGUUGAUUAUAAAUUUCAUCGGCUGUUCGGUCGAUUGCACGUCUCGAAAUUCGGAGUUCGGUCGAAAUAAACAAAAAUCUCCCAUAUUGCAACUUUCAGUAUCUGUCGUCAUGUUAUUCGGUGGAUGCCUGUGCCAAAACUCGGGACAACCUUGACCAGUUGAAAACCAUCUCUAUCAGAGUUAUACGCUAUAAAAACUCCGCCAACUGCAUUGAAGUGUUUAAACACAACAUGUCGGAAUGUGCAGCUCGAAUUACUACAUUACCAACUGUUCAGCCGGUUUUAUCAAAAUCUCGCACAAAGAUAGGAAUACACACGCGCUCACCAUAGGUAUCAAGGACACAUAGAUUAUGAAUUAUUUGCUGGAAAUUUUUAUGCAUGUGAAGCACAGAUUUAGCAAAAGUUACAGGAUGAAUGUCCGUUUGAACUGUUGUAGUUUGUUUAUUCAAUUAAGUAUAUGUUGACUUCAUUAUGCAAAACAUUAUGCGGGAAAAUUGAAUCUGCUCAGGAAUCUGCCGAUAAGAGACCAUAAAGACGAUUAUUUAAUGCAUUCUGCAGCUGGGAUUCCAGUUAGUCCAAAUGAAAAUAUUCAUUCAUUUUGAAUUAUUUUGAUGUUAAAUUCCCUAACAUUAUACGAAUAUUGGUCAAUACCUAUACACUAUAGCGGAGACUGACACAGAUACUGGCUUUGGCAUUUAAUCAGUCUGCUGGCGGAGAC